GAAGAUGUAUUCACUGGAGUUGAGCACAGGGAAUGCAUGAGGCAUUUGGCAGCUAAUUUUUCCAAAAAAUUUAGAGGAAAGUUUUUUGAUGAUAAUUUGUGGCCUUGUUCAUUGACAUAUAGCAUGAAAAAACACAAUUAUCAUCUUAGACAGCUACACAGCAAACCUGGUGUGAAAGAGUACCUAGAAGAGCAUCAUAGCAAACUAUGGGCCAGGGCCUUGUUCAAUGAAAUAUGCAAAGUUGAUUAUGUCAAUAACAAUUUAGCUGAGUCAUUCAAUUCCAAAAUUAAGAAGUGGAAGGGGAUACACAUUGUGGACUUGCUUGACAAAAUUAGGCAGUUCAUAAUGGAAAAGUUUGACUUGAGACAGCAGAUUGCAGCUGGGACAUACAAUGGGCACAUCAUAAUCCCAAAAAUCAUGAUUAUGCUUCAUGCAAAAUCAAAAGACCUUGAUAUGUCCAUAGUGAAAAGAAGCACAUUAGAGGCAGAGAUUACUGCAAUUGACAAGGAAAAAAGAGAGUGGAGAUAUCCUGUUAAUUUGCAAACACAUACUUGUAGUUGUAGAAAGUGGCAAAUAAUAGGACAACCAUGCAUACAUGCAUUGUACUUUAUCACUUCAAUGAGAGGUCCAGUUAGUGAGAUUGAUCAGUAUGUUCAUGAGUAUUUCUCUGUGGCAAAAUUCAAGGCUACUUAUGCUGAUAAUCUGCCACUUCUGGAGGGCAAGCAACAAUGGGAUGUUGUAGACCCAGGAUUUAAACUGAGUGCUCCAUUGCAAAAUAGGCCACCUGGUAGACCUAGGAAGACAAGAAUU
RNAcentral lists this ribosomal RNA (810 nucleotides) under Triticum aestivum (bread wheat). RNAcentral's name for it is "partial small subunit ribosomal RNA". Lineage: Eukaryota; Viridiplantae; Streptophyta; Magnoliopsida; Poales; Poaceae. The record is from RNAcentral.